GGAGUCUGGACCGUGUCUCAGUUCCAGUGUGGGGGACCUCCCUCUCAGGACCCCUAAACAUCGUAGCCUUGGUAGGCCGUUACCCUACCAACUAGCUAAUGUUACGCGAGCCAAUCCGUCACCUUCGCAAGAAUUUCUUAUACCUAAGAUGCCUUAAAUAUAAUCUAUGCGGUGUUAGACCACGUUUCCAUGGAUUAUCCCCCUGUGACGGGCAUGUUGCUCACGCGUUACGCACCCUUGCGCCGGUCGCCGACAAUGUAUUGCUACAUCUCGAUGCCCCUCGACUUGCAUGUGUUAAGCCUGCCGCUAGCGUUCAUC
This 318-nucleotide ribosomal RNA is filed under the name uncultured Bacteroidales bacterium. Its description in RNAcentral is "partial 16S ribosomal RNA". Lineage: Bacteria; Pseudomonadati; Bacteroidota; Bacteroidia; Bacteroidales. The record is from RNAcentral.